Molecule: ribosomal RNA, 435 nt
Filed under: uncultured bacterium
Lineage: Bacteria
Description: partial 16S ribosomal RNA
Rfam family: Bacterial small subunit ribosomal RNA
Source: RNAcentral
GAUGAACGCUGGCGGUAUGCUUAACACAUGCAAGUCGAACGGACUCUUCGGAGUUAGUGGCGGACGGGUGAGUAACGCGUGAGAAUCUGGCUUUGGGUUCGGGACAACCACUGGAAACGGUGGCUGAUACCGGAUGUGCCGAGAGGUAAAAGAGAAAUUGCCUGAAGAUGAGCUCGCGUCUGAUUAGCUAGUUGGUGAGGUAAAGGCUCACCAAGGCAGCGAUCAGUAGCUGGUCUGAGAGGAUGACCAGCCACACUGGGACUGAGACACGGCCCAGACUCCUACGGGAGGCAGCAGUGGGGAAUUUUCCGCAAUGGGCGAAAGCCUGACGGAGCAAUACCGCGUGAGGGAAGAAGGCUCUUGGGUUGUAAACCUCUUUUCUUAGGGAAGAACAAAAUGACGGUACCUAAGGAAUCAGCAUCGGCUAACUCCGUG